CUGAAAACAGGCUACUGUACCUCCCGAGUUAGCCUUCUAAAAGCCCUGUCUGCACGGGGGAAGGUGGAGUGGAAGACAAUGCCUGCAUUUAUGGUUAACUAUAAGUGCUACACUAGGAAGAUGAUGGUAUUCAGAUACACACAAAUAAUUUGAUUCAGACAGAUUGGAUACAAGAUUUCAACCAGCAUAAGGAGAACAGAUGAAAACGAGAAGUGAUAACUGGCAGUGCGUAAAAUACUGGGAAAAGAAAUCACUGACCAAGCCAUGGAGACCAAAAUCAGUACUAAUUCUAUUAAUUGAAAGAUCAUUCAUUCAGUACGAAGGCCUGAUCCUGUGAAGAUUUAAAUAGGUGAGUAACUCAGGUGCUUAGGUAUUUUCAG
RNAcentral lists this long non-coding RNA (380 nucleotides) under Gopherus agassizii (Agassiz's desert tortoise). Its description in RNAcentral is "lncRNA (ENSGAGG00000023564.1)". Lineage: Eukaryota; Metazoa; Chordata; Testudines; Testudinidae. The record is from RNAcentral.